Long non-coding RNA from Bubalus bubalis (water buffalo), 3044 nucleotides. RefSeq lists it as uncharacterized. NCBI's taxonomy places the organism in Eukaryota, Metazoa, Chordata, Mammalia, Artiodactyla, Bovidae. The transcript has 3 exons. The record is from RefSeq and is a predicted model, not a curated record.
CACUUACUGAGUUUAAAGCCAUCCUGAUGUUAUCAGCAGCAUCGGGUAAAGGGAGGUAUUUGGAACGUUCGAGUUGACCUAGAGGAAAGAACGACAGGACUGUUUUGCUUCUGUGCCGAGACGUUCCUGAGACUUGAGAGCAGCACAGAAUCCUCUCGUCUAAGCAGGAAAAGCUGGCACCUUCCUCGGAUUAGUUUCAGAGAUCCCACAGCCGGCAGAUCCUGAGGACCCAGGACACCAAAUGCGCCCAGAUGGGCUGCCACGGACUCUGGAAGGGAAGAUGAGUCGGAGAGCUCCUAACUGUCUGUGUGUGUGUGUGUGUGUGUGUGUGUGUGUUAGUAACUCAGUCAUGUCUAACUCUUUGAAACCCCAUAGAUUGUAGCCUUUCCGGCCCCUCUUCUAUGGAAUUCUGCAGGGGGGAUACUGGAGUAGGUUGCCAUUUCCUCCUCUAGGGGAUCUUCCUGACCCAGGGAUUGAACCCAAAUCUCCUGCACUGCAAGCAGAUUCUUUACCAUCUGAACUACCAGGGAAGCCUAACUCUCGGUGGCCAGAGACAAAGGAAGGAAGAAAGGUCUUCCCUGGGACCUGGAUCUGAUGGAGACGCACUGCUGUCCAAAAAGACCAGGGGAUCACAUUCUGUGCAAUUAAUGUCCAAAACAGGCAAUUCCACUCCCAUACAAGGUAGCAACUCUCUUUAGCUGGUUUCUGAAACGAACAAGACAAUCCAGAUGGCAGAGACAAUACUGCCUCUCGAAUGUUCUCUCCCGUCAUCAGAGGACACCCGUGAGUGCUCUUGAUUCCAGAAAGCCAGCCUCAGGGAAACACUUUUUCCCAAAGUGACCGAGACUCACAUGUGGCGAAGCUCUGCCCUGCUGCUUGCUCCUGGCACGCGUCCACUUCAAUGUCGCCCACUUGAGUCACACAGCAGAGCAUGACAGUCCCGGGCCACCCUGGGCUCUCCUUUCAGGGGACUGACUCAAGCCUCGAGUCACCUGCCCGGCCACCACUCAACAUGACAGUUUUGUGAAAUACCACCAGUCUCCCAUGACGUGAUGAAGGUAUUUCUAGACAAGGAGGGUCCCUCCUUACAGUAUCUUUUCUCUGGACCUCAGAACACAUUUGCUGGAGCUUUAUUUUGAAAACUACAAAACCAACGGAAAUGAGGUCAGAGAGGUAGAAACCGAUGCCCACAGAAGAGUCAGAGGUUUUCCCUAUUAUGAAGACCCCACUGACUUUCCCUCACACAUCAUUCAUGUGCGUGGCGCCUGCACCCGGCCCUUCUAAUGCCUUCCAGACGCCAGUUGUGUGAUGAGGUGUGACGGGUGGAAGAAACCCCACCUUCCUGACCUCAGAUUCGGCGUGCCUUCUUCAAACUCCUAAGCAAACACCACCAACAGAUACUCCCUAUCUGAGGGUCCAUGACCAAUGGAGCCCCUUACGUCUCAGCCACUGCAUACAAUCACCUUAUGUGUGGAGAGAUUCACAAAAUGCACCGUGAGAGGGAAGUUAACAGAGACAGUGGUGGAUUGAAUGAACGGUUCAACGUAAACAAAUAUAAGACUAUCAGAGAAAUGGCACACACAGUGACUGACGCAAGAAUGAGAAAGACAGAGGGAGGGAGAGAGCCGCUCAGGAGAGGCACUGCCUGCAUCAUCCAAGUUUCUUUUCCUAUGAAUGCCUCAUUGUCCAAAGGAGAUCGCAAACUUUUUAGGGCAGGAAUUGAAUCUGGUCCUUUUUUCUUCAGUCUAGUUUUGUACCAUACACAGAAAGUGGUCCAAUUUUUUUUUUUUUUUUUUUUUGCAUCCCACCAAAGGCCAAAUGAGUAAGAUGAAAUUUAAGACAGAGAGAGCCAGAAAGCCUGCAGCUGGACAAAGCAGACGCCAAAUUGAGGAUGUGAGUGACCUCACAGGUCCAGGUGCACAGAGCUGACCAAAUGCCAGCAGGUAGGCUGGAGAGGUGGCCAGUCCCACGAUAAAGUACAAAAGCCACUGUCAAAGGUUCGAAGAACUUGCCCGAGUCGAUCUGUGAAAUGGGCAUGCAUGCAGGCUAUGCAUGCUUAGUCACUUCAGUCAUGUCCAACUCUUGGCGACCCCAUGAACUCUAGCCCGCCAGGCUCCUCUGUCCAUGGGAUUUCCCAGGCAAGAAUACCAGAGUGGGUUGCCAUUUCCUUCUCCAGAGGAUCUUCCUGACCCAAGGAUAGCAGAUAAAUGGGGUUUUGUCCAGAUUAAAUGUGUUUGUGGCCUAGCACCAUGCCCAUCACACGAUGAGCCCUCCAGAAUAACGUAAUGACAGUAGCUAAGGGACUGAUGUAUGGGAAAAGGACUCAAUUUUUUUGUGUGAAGAUCCAAAGGAAGAACUCAGGAUCAAAAAGGUCAGAAAUAUCAGGAGGGCAGAUUUAACUCAAUCCAGGGAAACCAAGUUCCAACAAUGAGGAAAUUUCAGUAUCCACUGCGUUCCCUUGUGAGAAACAGUUCCUCAAACCAAAAAAAAAAAAAAAAGUCUGAUCCAACGCUGGAAGGCUGUGUCUACAGCACAUUCUAGAACCAAACUGGGCUUUUGCUGAGAGGCCAGACAUGAUGAUCUUUUAUUUUUUGUGAUCAGAAACACAAAUCUAUCCCUAGAAAACACAGGCUCCACAUGCCUGGUGUUCAGAUCGAGUCUCAGAUGAGGCCAGGUGCUUGCCCUGCCAGGAGGGCCCUUCUGAAAGCAGGGAGCUUAAAGCGAUGCUGACGUGAGGUGACAUCCAAACAAGCCACCAUAAAAGCCUGGGCUUCAUCUCACCUUCCAGAUCAGAGCUUCCUAGAAAACAUUUCUCUAAUGGACGUCCACUAGAAGGCCAACGGAGCUCCCAAUGAUUCCGUCCACUCUGCCUUUGCAGAAGCUUCCGGACUUAAGUUUUGUUGCUGUUUACUUGCAGCUAGCUGCAAGAAUUAAUGUGAAUUACAGGGCUUCCUUUGUGGCUCAGAUGGUAAAGAAUCCGACUGCAGUGUGGGAGACCUGGGUUCAAUCCUUGGGUUGAGAAGAUCCCCUGGAGGAGGGCGUGG